Long non-coding RNA from Ostrea edulis (European flat oyster), 1218 nucleotides. RefSeq lists it as uncharacterized. NCBI's taxonomy places the organism in Eukaryota, Metazoa, Mollusca, Bivalvia, Ostreida, Ostreidae. The record is from RefSeq and is a predicted model, not a curated record. The transcript is spliced from 2 exons.
GGGGGGGGGUCAAAGUUUUACAUACAAAUAUAGGAAAAAGCUUUAAAAAUCUUCUUCUCAAGAACCAUUGGGCCAAAGAAGUUGACAUUUACAUGAAAGCUUUCUGACAUAAUGUAGAUUCAAGUUUGCAAAGGGUAGUUUGGGCCAUAAUAGGGACUAAGUUUUACAUGCAAAUAUAUAUGGAAAGUCUUCAGAUAUGGGCCAAGGUGACUCAGGUGAGCGAUGUGGCCCAUGGGCCUCUUGUUUUUUCUUUACAUGAGAACAGUUUUGUAUCAUAGGGAAGUGAGAAAUCUGUUAAACACUAUUUUAGGUUUUUUUUUUUUUUUUUUUUUUUUUUUUUUUUUUUAUAUGAGAACAGUUUUGUAUCGUAGGGAAGUGAGAAAUAUGUUAAACACUAUGUUUUUUUUUUUUUUUUUUUUUUUUUUUACAUGAGAACAGUUUUGUAUCAUAGGGAAGUGAGAAAUCUGUUAAACACUAUUUUAGGUUUUUUUUUGUUUUUUUUUUUUGUUUUUUUUUUUUUUAUAUGAGAACAGUUUUGUAUCGUAGGGAAGUGAGAAAUAUGUUAAACACUAUGUUUUUUUUUUUUUUUUUUUUUUACAUGAGAACAGUUUUGUAUCAUAGGGAAGUGAGAAAUCUACACUUCGGUAUGGUGCCAUCACAUGAUUGUUAUAAACAGAUCAUGGAUGCACCUCAACAAAAACGUAUAACACAACUCCAGGGUUUGAACUAUGACCUGAUUGACAAUAUGAAUAGUAAAACAUCCCUAGUUUAUCCCAAAAUCUGCUACAAUCAUACUGCUUUCAGUAAGAAGUGAUUAUUAAACAUCUUUAUAUGAAACCAUCUCAGUUUUUCACACUUCACACUGAUGUUCUUGAGUUUUCUUCUGAAGUCUAUGUUACAGACAAUUUUUUACUAAUAGCACUUUCUGUUUAUGCUAGUCCAUCACUAUUAAAAGACCUAACAAGAAAUGUUUUAGAAACAUAUAUGUCCCCUACGUGGCAAUAUUGAAAAAGAUCAAUAUUUUAAAUCUAAGAUGUUUGUAAUUAUUGUGCAAUACAUGGGUUAUCUACUAAUCAGGGACAAUCAUAAUAAUAAGUUUGAUCUCUCUAGAUAUUGAGCAGACAUUUCCAAAUAACCUGUCAUUUGAAUCAUGACCUUUAAACUUGUGAUCUGAAAACCAGUGGGGACCAUUUACCCUUUAGGGGGCACCAGUGUCCC